AGAGUUUGAUCAUGGCUCAGAUUGAACGCUGGCGGCAGGCUUAACACAUGCAAGUCGAGCGGUAGCAGGCCUUCGGGUGCUGACGAGCGGCGGACGGGUGAGGAAUGCAUAGGAAUCUGCCUAUUAGUGGGGGAUAACACGGGGAAACUCGUGCUAAUACCGCAUACGUCCUACGGGAGAAAGCGGGGGAUCUUUGGACCUCGCGCUAAUAGAUGAGCCUAUGCCGGAUUAGCUAGUUGGUAGGGUAAAGGCCUACCAAGGCGACGAUCCGUAGCUGGUCUGAGAGGAUGAUCAGCCACACUGGGACUGAGACACGGCCCAGACUCCUACGGGAGGCAGCAGUGGGGAAUAUUGGACAAUGGGCGCAAGCCUGAUCCAGCCAUGCCGCGUGUGUGAAGAAGGCCUUCGGGUUGUAAAGCACUUUAAGUGGGGAGGAAGGUUAGUGGUUUAAUACGCUACUAAAUUGACGUUACCCACAGAAUAAGCACCGGCUAACUCUGUGCCAGCAGCCGCGGUAAUACAGAGGGUGCAAGCGUUAAUCGGAAUUACUGGGCGUAAAGCGCGCGUAGGUGGUUUUGUAAGUUGAAUGUGAAAUCCCCGGGCUUAACCUGGGAAUGGCAUCCAAAACUGCACGACUAGAGUAUGGGAGAGGGAGGUAGAAUUCCAGGUGUAGCGGUGAAAUGCGUAGAGAUCUGGAGGAAUACCGGUGGCGAAGGCGGCCUCCUGGCCUAAUACUGACACUGAGGUGCGAAAGCGUGGGCAGCAAACAGGAUUAGAUACCCUGGUAGUCCACGCCGUAAACGAUGAGAACUAGCCGUUGGUCUCCUUGAGAGGUUAGUGGCGCAGCUAACGCGAUAAGUUCUCCGCCUGGGGAGUACGGCCGCAAGGUUAAAACUCAAAUGAAUUGACGGGGGCCCGCACAAGCGGUGGAGCAUGUGGUUUAAUUCGACGCAACGCGAAGAACCUUACCUGGUCUUGACAUCCACGGAAUCCUGCAGAGAUGUGGGAGUGCCUUCGGGAACCGUGAGACAGGUGCUGCAUGGCUGCCGUCAGCUCGUGUUGUGAAAUGUUGGGUUAAGUCCCGUAACGAGCGCAACCCUUGUCCUUAGUUGCCAGCGAGUAAUGUCGGGAACUCUAAGGAGACUGCCGGUGACAAACCGGAGGAAGGUGGGGACGACGUCAAGUCAUCAUGGCCCUUACGACCAGGGCUACACACGUGCUACAAUGGCCGGUACAGAGGGUUGCCAAGCCGCGAGGUGGAGCCAAUCCCGAAAAGCCGGUCGUAGUCCGGAUUGCAGUCUGCAACUCGACUGCAUGAAGUCGGAAUCGCUAGUAAUCGCAGAUCAGAAUGCUGCGGUGAAUACGUUCCCGGGCCUUGUACACACCGCCCGUCACACCAUGGGAGUGGGUUGCACCAGAAGUAGUUAGCUUAACCGCAAGGGGAGCGAUUACCACGGUGUGAUUCAUGACUGGGGUGAAGUCGUAACAAGGUA
Molecule: ribosomal RNA, 1493 nt
Filed under: metagenome
Description: bacterial SSU rRNA
Rfam family: Bacterial small subunit ribosomal RNA
Source: RNAcentral